UUUUUUACUAAUACAAUCGAUAAGGUUAAAAUUGUAAUUUUAAUAUUGUUGCGGAGGUUUCAAAAUUUACAAUAUUAUAUAAAUAAAUAAAUUGACAUUUGUUUAUGGAAAUGUUAUGGCGAAGGUUACCGAAAUUUUUUGAUAGGAGAUACAAGAAUUUUAUGUGAAAGGAUGUGACACUAACAAUUAAUAAUCACUCACUCUUUUAUGUUAAGCCCGUCUUGGUAAAAUAUUAUAUUUUUAUGUAUUUUUUUUUAUAAAAUCUUUAGUAAGAAUAAACUAGUACUUUUUGUUUAGAUUUGAAUCUAAUAAAUAUAAAUUCUUUUUGUAUUGGAUAUGGGAAUGGGAGAGCAUGAUUGAUGUUAUAUAAUGUAGGAUAGGAUAGGAUAGGAUGGUCCUCCGAUCCCACAAAUUGUGCUAAUAACUUUAUUUUGUGCUCCCUUCGAUCCCACAUGCGCAUGCGAACAAUGUUUUUUACUCGGUAUCAAAAGUGGUCUCAAUAUUUUUCUCAGGUUAGAAUUACUUGAUCAUGAUAUACUAUAUUUUUUCAGGAACACUGACCUUUGGUUUAUGUGACUUUAUGUAAAGUGAAGUGUGCAUUUCACUUUUACAUAUUAAUAUGUUUUUUUUUUUUUCUGUAGAAUAUCUUAAUUUAAAGAGUAAUGUUCGGUCUUUAAAUCAUAACUCAAUUGACAAAAAUCGAUAUUGUUAGAUUGAAUAUUUUAUCUUGAAUUCAAACUCAAGAUCUCGCAGUUGUGUGAAUUAAAUAUGAUAUAAUUUAUCAUUUCUUCUUAGACAAAGAAAAAAAUAAUAAUAUUCAUAUUUUUUUUUGUUAUUUUCAAUUUUCUUAUUUAAUCUAUAGGAUUUGGAGUCUUGUAAUAUUAGAAGCUAAUUUAGGCUUUUUUUUUCUUGACUUAUUAGAAGCUAAGUCAAAGUUUUUGUUUUAUUUCUCUUUUCAUUUGUUUAUGUAAAACACUAAAACCUCACAAAUUUCUUUUUUAUAAUUUUUUUUGGAUUUUCUCUAAGUUCCUUCUAUAAAAAAUAAUCAUAUUCGAGGCAUGUCGAAAACCAAUAAAUAUGAAUAUUUUUCUUAAUGGAAAUUGAAACUUGAGAUGACCAUAAUAGUUUAACUUGGUUACACCAAAACCAACCUUUGUUGCUAAAACCAUAAAACUUUUAUUAGAGAAGGAGAAAUUGUUUUCAACUAAUUAAUAUAACUUUGACGUGGUAUUAUAGUGUGGUAUCAUUCUUCAAAAACCAUCUGAUUGGCUAAGACCAAUUCCAGCUAGCUAAUUAAUGGUGCUUCAUUUUUGUUGUUGAUAUUGGUUGCUUGCUUCACCAUUGUUAGGCACAUGAAAUUGGCUCGUUUUUGGCAGCACAGUUAUAGUUGCUAUUAUUAGUUCUUGAGAUCUGAUUAUGAGUUAUUAAACGAUAAAAUGAAUAAUAAUUUGCAACUUGAAGGACUAUUCCUAAAGGGCCUAACGAAUUAUUAUUAUUAAUAAAUUCUUAGGAGUAUUCAGCUUACUCUUGUUA
Molecule: non-coding RNA, 1533 nt
Organism: Cicer arietinum (chickpea)
Lineage: Eukaryota; Viridiplantae; Streptophyta; Magnoliopsida; Fabales; Fabaceae
Source: RefSeq, a predicted model, not a curated record